RNAcentral lists this transfer RNA (73 nucleotides) under Apaloderma vittatum (bar-tailed trogon). It matches the Rfam family "tRNA". From Rfam's summary of the family: Transfer RNA (tRNA) molecules are approximately 80 nucleotides in length. Their secondary structure includes four short double-helical elements and three loops (D, anti-codon, and T loops). Lineage: Eukaryota; Metazoa; Chordata; Aves; Trogoniformes; Trogonidae. The record is from Rfam by way of RNAcentral.
GGUCGGUUAGCUCAGUGGGUUGAGUGUGGCACUGACAAUGCCAAGGUUGUGGGUUCGAUUCCCGCUUGGUCCU